AAUGAAUGAUGACAAAAUGUUUCGGUCCCAAAUGAAACAUCCUGAUUUUACCGUUACAUGUUUUUCUGACAUU
Small nucleolar RNA from Cricetulus griseus (Chinese hamster), 73 nucleotides. Its record names the gene SNORD73. It matches the Rfam family "Small nucleolar RNA SNORD73". From Rfam's summary of the family: U73 is a member of the C/D class of snoRNA which contain the C (UGAUGA) and D (CUGA) box motifs. U73 is encoded within the introns of ribosomal protein S3a and contains a 12nt region of complementarity to a conserved sequence in 28S ribosomal RNA. U73 is therefore thought to function as a 2'-O-ribose methylation guide for pre-rRNA. The record is from Ensembl. Lineage: Eukaryota; Metazoa; Chordata; Mammalia; Rodentia; Cricetidae.